This 343-nucleotide unclassified non-coding RNA is filed under the name Klebsiella pneumoniae subsp. pneumoniae. Its description in RNAcentral is "partial 16S-23S ribosomal RNA intergenic spacer". The stretch from base 239 to 336 matches the Rfam family "Salmonella enterica Typhi npcRNA 44". The record is from RNAcentral. Lineage: Bacteria; Pseudomonadati; Pseudomonadota; Gammaproteobacteria; Enterobacterales; Enterobacteriaceae.
CCUUAAAGAACCUGCCUUUGUAGUGCUCACACAGAUUGUCUGAUGAACGUAAAGAAGCAAGGCGUCUUGCGAUUGAGACUUCAGUGUCCCCUUCGUCUAGAGGCCCAGGACACCGCCCUUUCACGGCGGUAACAGGGGUUCGAAUCCCCUAGGGGACGCCACUUGCUGGUUCGUGAGUGAAAGACGCGUGCCGAACUAUCUCAAAACUCAUCUUCGGGUGAUGUUUGAGAUAUUUGCUCUUUAAAAAUCUGGAUCAAGCUGAAAAUUGAAACGACACACUGUUUAAGUGUGUUCGAGUCUCUCAAAUUUUCGCAAUCAGAAGUGAAACAUCUUCGGGUUGUGA